RNAcentral lists this ribosomal RNA (253 nucleotides) under uncultured bacterium. RNAcentral describes it as "partial 16S ribosomal RNA". It matches the Rfam family "Bacterial small subunit ribosomal RNA", at positions 524 to 776 of the family's 1533-position model. The record is from RNAcentral.
UACGAAGGGGGCUAGCGUUGUUCGGAAUUACUGGGCGUAAAGCGAUCGUAGGCGGUGUUCCAUGUCAGAGGUGAAAGCCUGGGGCUCAACUCCAGAAUUGCCUUUGAAACGGGAACGCUUGAGUCCGAGAGAGGGUGGCGGAAUUCCUAGUGUAGAGGUGAAAUUCGUAGAUAUUAGGAAGAACACCAGUGGCGAAGGCGGCCACCUGGCUCGGUACUGACGCUCAGGUUCGAAAGCGUGGGGAGCAAACAGG